This is a long non-coding RNA of Polistes dominula (European paper wasp), 3008 nucleotides long. Lineage: Eukaryota; Metazoa; Arthropoda; Insecta; Hymenoptera; Vespidae. The record is from RefSeq and is a predicted model, not a curated record.
UGUUAAUAUAUUAACCAAUCGACUGGUCCAUGGAAAAUUCUAAAAUGCAUAAUUAAAUAGAAAUAAAAUGAAUAGAAAACUAUAGGGAUCCUCCAAUAACUCAGCUCUACCAUCGAGUGUAAUAAUAUUAUCCCGUGGAUCAAGAAUUACCAAGUAUUGUAGGAUUCCUCGCUUCUACAAUGAGAUAAUAAAAUAUGAGAAACCAUUUUAAAUCCACGAAGCAAUUCAUAAUCACAGGAUAACAGAGACAUUAAAUGAAAAUAAAAAGUAAUUUUACCUAUCGGAGCUCACGAAAAUGACUUCAAAAUCGUGUCCUCUUUCUCGAAUUCGUUGAGAAACCUCGAUUGAAAUUUCUACUAAAGAAGAAAAAUUCUACACGAAUAAACACCCUUGAAACAAUGUCGAAGUUCCUCAUGUAACAUUGGCUCAUUGCUGUCGCGAGCACCACAAGGCAGCAAAGGUCCAUCUUCCAGGGCAGCUUUUGGAUGUGGUGGUUUCCAAGGGAAUUCGGCGCCAGUAGGAUCGGCAAUGAAAUAAAGCGGUUUAAUGAGAAUGAAUUGCAAAAGGUUUAAAAUUGUCCGGAAGAGAACAAUAAUUCCGUAUGGAUGCUUUAACAGAAGUUUCGAAGAUCGUACGAGACAAGGAUGGAGGGAUGGAUGAUGAAUGGAUACAUAUCCGAUGAAAUACGAGAAGAAAAACUCACAAUAAAAAAAAAAGCAGAAUGAAUUGAAGAAGAGGUAGAAAUACGUUGAGAUUUAUCGAUUGUGCGAGGCUUAUCGCGAACGAGCAACGAACAAUGCACAAAUCAUACGAGAACAAGAAGAAGAAAAAAGAAAAAAAGGAGAUAGAAAGAGAUAAAGGAAAUGUUCAACUUGGUCUUCUCAUUGGUAGUCUUAAAAAAAAAAAAACGUUACAACCCCGAAGGUAGUAGUAGGUGGUGUAAAGGAUAAGAAGGAGUGUAGGAAAAAGGGAGCGGUGGUGUCUGCCGACAAUGAGUACUGUCUCUCCUGUCAGGUCGCGUGAUUACAGCCAAGGAUGAGAAGAAAAAGGAAAAGGGCUCUUCUACGAUACUAGCGACGGAUAUAAUGUCAAAGGGUCUACGCAUUCUUCGAGUAGACAACAACAUGGUGCAGUUCUGACAACAGCAAUAAUAGUAACGGCAAAAGUAGUAACAGCAGUAGGUAGUAACAGAAGUAGUUAUACGAAACCAAAAGAGAACUUCGUAGACACGAUUCAAUCUGUAAUAUUAACAACUUUAAAGUUCACGCAAAUCGAUCGAAAGUCUCGUUACAUCUCGGAAGAGACAUUUAAUAUUAAUUAGCAGAGGCUUCUUGCAACUUGACACACGCUACAACUUUCGAAUAAAACUUUACUGAAAUACAGCGGGCGAAUGAGAAAGCUAUUUGCGGAAGAUAUGGGUCGGCUACCCCGAAUGGGAAAGACUGCCGUUGGCUGUUGCUGACUGCUGUUGCUGCUGCUACUGCUGCUGCUGCUGCUGCUACUAUUGCUAUUGCUAUUGCUAUACUGAUAUAUUCCUACUGGCGCUGAGCUGACUCUUUUUCUCAAACGUUGAUGCAAAGCAAACUUCCAGGGUCCAAGAAGAUGAACGUGAGCAACAACGCGUGGGCUUAUUACGCCGUUGAAGAAGCGACCGUCGUCGUGCUAGGUGGCCCUACGACAUUGCAAGCUAGUUUGAUAGGGAGACUGGAUAAGCAGAGAAGGAAACGAGGGAGAAAGCUAAUCGACGAGGACGUUCAUACGAGAUAAAUUAAACUCUAUCUCGCCUUACGUGUUUCCUUCACUUUUACUCUCUUCAAUUUCAUUAUGUUUUAUGUAAACAACAAAAUCUAUGACAAUGAUAAAAAAGAGUGCAUAAAGAGGAACGUUCAUUUCUAUAAUGAGAAAGAAAAAAAGGAGACGACGACGACGACGACGACACGGUCUUUCUCGUCAUUUUUCUUUCUCUUUUUCUUUCUUCAAUCGUCGAAUCGCAUCGCUUCGGUGGAUAUCACCGGACGAAGAGGAGACAAGGAUGACAACGAGGACGACGACCACGACAACGACAACAACGAAGAAGAAAAGAAGAGGAUAUAUCAGUGUCGGCUUUAUUUCUCGGUCUAAUAAUUUGAAAUGGAGGAAAAAAGUAGCGGAGUGGAGAGAAGACUACUUGACAUUAAUUGCGCGCGAACCAUUACCGUUAACUUUCUUCGCGUUUCCGAUCGAAGAAGUCUCAGCAUACAUAUGCAUCGAGGUGAGCCAAUAGCCAACCUCGAGUGCUGCUCUGGCUUUGUCAAACGAUUUUUCCCAAAGGAAAAAUUGUCUCGGACUAUGAAGACAAGAAGAAAAGAAAAGAAAAGAAAAGAAAUAAAGAUAAAGAAAGAAAGGAAAUUAAAAAGGGAAAGGAUAAAUCGCUUUUCUUGUUACUUCAUAGGAAGGGAUAUGUUUUUAUCUAAAAAAAAAAAAAUAAGGAAAAAUAUAAUGUAAGUUCAAAGAUUCUGUCACUUCGUUUGUGAAUUUUGUCAAAGGUACAUAUAAAGAGAAAGGUCGGCCUUUAUAGCAACCCUUCGACGAUUAUUUCGCGUGUGUCGUUCGUUUGGGGAGACUUUAAUAAAAUCGCUCCGAAAAUAGUGUAGUACCCUGUAGGCAGUUUUAACGGCGUGCGUGCGUGCAUGCGUGCGUGCAAGAAAAGUAAAAGAAAUAUAAGAAUAAGGACCUACACUCUCGUGUGUACCUUGGCGUGUUACACACGAAUAUGUUGUGUCGUGCGUUAUCGUUACGUAUUUUUCGUUGAACACACGCACCUGCUUUUAGAGUAGUUUCUAGAAAUAUGAUGGAAAGUCCAAGAAAUCAUUUGGAAACAUAUUUCAAUGUAAGGAAAAAAAAAUAGAAAUGUUUUAAAUAAGGUGCAGGUAUUUGGAUAGUUCCUCUUGCAUUCUUCUCUACUUUUGAUACUAUGUAUACGAUUUUUAGGAAGUGUGCAAGGGAAAAAUAAAAAUAUUUACGAUAAA